AGUGAACGCUGGCGGUAGGCCUAACACAUGCAAGUCGAACGGCAGCACAGUAAGAGCUUGCUCUUACGGGUGGCGAGUGGCGGACGGGUGAGGAAUACAUCGGAAUCUACUUUUUCGUGGGGGAUAACGUAGGGAAACUUACGCUAAUACCGCAUACGACCUACGGGUGAAAGCAGGGGAUCUUCGGACCUUGCGCGAUUGAAUGAGCCGAUGUCGGAUUAGCUAGUUGGCGGGGUAAAGGCCCACCAAGGCGACGAUCCGUAGCUGGUCUGAGAGGAUGGUCAGCCACACUGGAGCUGAGACACGGUCCAGACUCCUACGGGAGGCAGCAGUGGGGAAUAUUGGACAAUGGGCGCAAGCCUGAUCCAGCCAUACCGCGUGGGUGAAGAAGGCCUUCGGGUUGUAAAGCCCUUUUGUUGGGAAAGAAAAGCAGCAGGUUAAUACCCCGCUGUUCUGACGGUACCCAAAGAAUAAGCACCGGCUAACUUCGUG
This 492-nucleotide ribosomal RNA is filed under the name uncultured bacterium. Its description in RNAcentral is "partial 16S ribosomal RNA". It matches the Rfam family "Bacterial small subunit ribosomal RNA", at positions 29 to 507 of the family's 1533-position model. The record is from RNAcentral.